Thalassophryne amazonica is the source of this 748-nucleotide long non-coding RNA. RefSeq lists it as uncharacterized. The record is from RefSeq and is a predicted model, not a curated record. The transcript is spliced from 2 exons. NCBI's taxonomy places the organism in Eukaryota, Metazoa, Chordata, Actinopteri, Batrachoidiformes, Batrachoididae.
AACGGUUCCAGAAACGGUUGAACUUGCAGUUCUCAUUAAUUAGGGUCUGGUUUGAGAGCGUAAACCAGAGAUAGUCAUCAUGGUGACUGCUCUGCUUUCACAAAUCAUUUUGUGCAUCAUGCUUACAGUGUGAGUGCAAUUUUUUUUAAUCGUGCUAAUUUAAAAAUAUUGAUACAGUCAAACACUCGUCAAGCAGUGAAAAGGAAAAAUAACUGAACUUGUGUCACUGAGUCGGUGACUUUUUGGUGUUUGUGUGAUUUGUGUAUUUAUGAGCGGUUAAUAGUAAUAAAUGAUCCUUGUCUCACCCCUUUGGGCACAAACUGUAUAAAUCCAAACCCCUGGAUAAACACGAACAAGCUCUAAGCUUCUGGGAGUUUGGGAAGUCCACUCAUUUGUUUUACACUUCAUUAAUUAACUGUUCCCUCGAACGACGAGCCAACAAGCUCACGUGUCUACGUCUUAACAUUUUAAUGAAUGAGCUGGAUCUGGACCAGAAGCAGAAGUAUUUUACAAGUUUCCAAACUUUUCAUCCUAUUUCAGAAAAAUGAAACCCUCCUCACCCUAAACCAUUUGAGAUAAAGUGACUUGCGAAGUUGCUAAACAGAUGAGAUGUCAAAAUAUUUCAUAAUUCAAAUACCUUUCUAUCAACAUAAGCAGAAAUGCCUGUUGGUUUGAAGGCAUAAUGCAAAGUAUUUAAAAACUAAUAAAUGCAGUGACCAUCUUAUAUUAGUCAGAGAAUGAACGGGUU